AUGGCAUAUUUGCAGCAGAAUGGCAUCCAGAAAUCAUUGUAAUUGUGCCAGUAUUUCAUGCGCUUAUUUAAGAGUAUUUUCUGUUCAAGGAUUUCAAAACACUUCUCUAAUGGUACGGAGAAAAGUCAACAUGGUAGAGAAGUAGGGGGACUCAAAUUUCCCUUGUCUCUCAAACACAGCAAUGUUGAGGCCAGAAGACUUGGAAUUCCAGGAAUGUGGACUACAAAUGACAGAAACAUCUCCAGGGGCCAUGUGGACAACUUGGCAGGCCAUAGAGCAAGAUUGACACUGACCAAACCAGAUGGCCUCUCCUCCAGACCAGUGCAGCCACCGGUUUUCAAGCAAGCUGGGGCAAGUUCAUCUAACACCUCCUUUGAAGACCAGCAGAUGUUUCAUAAAGGGUCUAUACGUGGGAGGUCUAAGUACAGAGCUUGACUGUGAACUUUCAUCAAGAGAAAGCUGAUUACAGGUUGGCAACUGGCCUGUCUGUCGUACAUCAGGAAACAGAAGAGCAGACAAGCUUAGGAUACGUGUGGUUAAGGCAAAAAAGAACUGUUCUCUUCAGCUGGCUGCACAGAAAUACUCAAAAUGUUUUGAACAUCAUGACGAUUCUUUUCACACCAGCACGAUGACUUCUGAUACAGUUGUCAGGACUGUUUGGAAACCGAUAUGAUGAUUCUUCUCUCACCGACAUUAUGAGCCAAUUUAAGGAGGACGUGGAGUCUCCCCUGAACAAAUGCCUUGGUCCCAACAGGGUCUAUUUUUGUUUCUGUUUUUAUUUAUAUGGGAAUAUGUUCUCAGUCCCGAAGGAUGAUGAGAAAGAACUAGCUCCAGGUUUCAACAGUUGCCUUUUUUUUUUGAUAAAAAAUUGGUUGCGUAGAAUUAGGAGAAAUUUUCUCUCAGAAAAAAAUGUAACACUCAUUCAACAUGCUGAUCAACUGGUAUAUCAAAACAUAAAUUUGAUCUUUGUAAAGGACUAUGAAAAAUCAUUAGGUG
This 996-nucleotide long non-coding RNA is filed under the name Felis catus (domestic cat). RNAcentral's name for it is "lncRNA (ENSFCAG00000046085.2)". Lineage: Eukaryota; Metazoa; Chordata; Mammalia; Carnivora; Felidae. The record is from RNAcentral.